UUAUGCCCAGGGCUACACACGUGACUACAAUGGGCGGUACAAAGGGUAGCGAUGCCGCGAGGUAGAAGCCAAAUCCCAAAAAGCCGUCCACAGUUCGGAUUGGAGUCUGCAACUCGACUCCAUGAAGCCGGAAUCGCUAGUAAUCGUGGAUCAGCAUGCCACGGUGAAUACGUUCCCGGGCCUU
Molecule: ribosomal RNA, 184 nt
Filed under: uncultured Desulfobacterium sp.
Lineage: Bacteria; Pseudomonadati; Thermodesulfobacteriota; Desulfobacteria; Desulfobacterales; Desulfobacteriaceae
Description: partial 16S ribosomal RNA
Rfam family: Bacterial small subunit ribosomal RNA
Source: RNAcentral